Molecule: non-coding RNA, 144 nt
Submitted as: unclassified sequences
Source: Rfam
CAUGAUUAGUGAAAACUAGGAUUGUAUAGAGAGUAGUCGCAGUCGCUCCAACUCCGACUUCUAAAUGUAAUCAUAUUUGGAAGUAAGGUGAGAAACAACUGUUAAGUUGGAAACUUUAAUUUUGUUAAGAAAUUGAGGAACUGC